GAUGAACGCUGGCGGCGUGCUUAACACAUGCAAGUCGAACGGAAAGGCCCAAGCUUGCUUGUGUACUCGAGUGGCGAACGGGUGAGUAACACGUGGGUGAUCUGCCCUGCACUUCGGGAUAAGCCUGGGAAACUGGGUCUAAUACCGGAUAGGACGAUGGUUUGGAUGCCAUUGUGGAAAGUUUUUUCGGUGUGGGAUGAGCUCGCGGCCUAUCAGCUUGUUGAUGGGGUAAUGGCCUACCCAGGCGUCGACGGGGAGCCGGCCUAGUAGGGUGUACGGCCGCAUUGGAACUGAGAGACGGCCCAGAGUCCUACAGGAGGCAGCAGUGGGGAAUAUUGCACAAUGUGCGCAAGCGUGGUGCAGGGACGCCGCGUGGGGGAUGACGGCCUUCGUGGUGUAAACACCUUAGGCGAGGGACGAAGCGUUUCUGUGACGGUACCUAAAGAAGAAGCACCGGCUAACUACGUG
Molecule: ribosomal RNA, 468 nt
Filed under: uncultured bacterium
Lineage: Bacteria
Description: partial 16S ribosomal RNA
Rfam family: Bacterial small subunit ribosomal RNA
Source: RNAcentral